AGCUCUGCGCAGUGGCAGUAUCAUAGCCAAUGAGGUGUACCCAAGGUGCGAUUAUUGCUAAUUGAAAACUGUUCCCAAUAUCCCGCCAGGACGAUUUGCAAUAUAGUCAGCAUUGGCAAUUUUUGAUGGUCCCUAUGGGGA
Small nuclear RNA from Lemur catta (Ring-tailed lemur), 141 nucleotides. RefSeq annotates it as U4 spliceosomal RNA. The record is from RefSeq and is a predicted model, not a curated record. The transcript has a single exon. NCBI's taxonomy places the organism in Eukaryota, Metazoa, Chordata, Mammalia, Primates, Lemuridae.